Molecule: ribosomal RNA, 912 nt
Filed under: Triticum aestivum (bread wheat)
Lineage: Eukaryota; Viridiplantae; Streptophyta; Magnoliopsida; Poales; Poaceae
Description: partial small subunit ribosomal RNA
Source: RNAcentral
AUGGGUUUAAAGUUUCAAGACAGAGAUAACCCAUCUAGCUCUUCUAGAGAUCCGAAUGAUCGUAGUAUUUGGGACUUAAUCUGGAAAGCCAAAGUGCCUGGGAAGGUCCGCAUCUUUGGCUGGAAGAUUGCCACAAGCACUCUCGCCACCAGAAAGAAUAAGUGGAAGAGAACCAUUGAGCUUGAUGCCACUUGCAAUAUUUGUGGUAACGGAAUCGAAGACGAAUAUCAUGCUGUCGUAGCGUGCACAAAGAGUAGAGCUCUGCGCUUGGCUUUACGGAAGAAGUGGGGUUUACCUGCAGAGGACAGGUUCAGAUAUACUGGAGAUGACUGGCUGCAAAUACUGCUUGACACUGAAUCUAAGGAUAUGCGUGCAAAAAUCCUCUUGUUGUUAUGGCGUUGCUGGUACUUAAGGGAGGACUGCAUCAGAGGACCAGGCAAGGAACCUAUAUUGGUUUCAGUGCAGUUCUUGAUGAAGUACGAGGAGGAGCUUCGAACCUGCGGGCUGACUACUGAAUCUUAUCAGGGGAAGUGUGGACAGGGCCUGGCGGCCCCCCAGGACCAAACCACGGUGGCGCUGAACAACAAGUGGAGUCCACCUGACCGGGGCACAAUCAAAAUUAACACAGAUGCAUCUUUUAUCGCAGAGACGGGAAGCAGUUCUGCAGGUGCGAUAGCAAGGGACUUCAGAGGCCGUGUAUAUCUCUCGGUCUAUAAGUUGUUGCCGUCUUGCAGUAGUGUGGAAGAGGCAGAAGCCCGGGCAAUUUUGGUUGGCCUGCAAACAUGGCUGAUUACCAUAGAGGUCCGAUCAGUCUUGAAACUGACUGCCAAACCAUUGCCAAAGAACUGUCUGAUGACCAGAAAUCACGCUCGGCCUGCUAUGGCCUGCUUGUGGAUAUCAAAAACACCUUGA